This 468-nucleotide ribosomal RNA is filed under the name uncultured bacterium. Its description in RNAcentral is "partial 16S ribosomal RNA". It matches the Rfam family "Bacterial small subunit ribosomal RNA", at positions 28 to 507 of the family's 1533-position model. The record is from RNAcentral.
GACGAACGCUGGCGGCGUGCUUAACACAUGCAAGUCGAACGGAAAGUCCCUGCUUUUGUGGGGGGCUCGAGUGGCGAACGGGUGAGUAACACGUGAGUAACCUGCCCUUGACUUUGGGAUAACUUCAGGAAACUGGGGCUAAUACCGGAUAGGAGCUCCUGCUGCAUGGUGGGGGUUGGAAAGUUUCGGCGGUUGGGGAUGGACUCGCGGCUUAUCAGCUUGUUGGUGGGGUAGUGGCUUACCAAGGCUUUGACGGGUAGCCGGCCUGAGAGGGUGACCGGCCACAUUGGGACUGAGAUGCGGCCCAGACUCCUACGGGAGGCAGCAGUGGGGUAUAUUGCACAAUGGGCGGAAGCCUGAUGCAGCAACGCCGCGUGCGGGAUGACGGCCUUCGGGUUGUAAUCCGCUUUCGCCUGUGACGAAGCGUGAGUGACGGUAAUGGGUAAAGAAGCACCGGCUAACUACGUG